RNAcentral lists this ribosomal RNA (608 nucleotides) under Klebsiella pneumoniae. RNAcentral's name for it is "partial 23S ribosomal RNA". It matches the Rfam family "Bacterial large subunit ribosomal RNA", at positions 653 to 1258 of the family's 2925-position model. The record is from RNAcentral. Lineage: Bacteria; Pseudomonadati; Pseudomonadota; Gammaproteobacteria; Enterobacterales; Enterobacteriaceae.
CCGUAUAGGGGAGCCGCAGGGAAACCGAGUCUUAACUGGGCGUUAAGUUGCAGGGUAUAGACCCGAAACCCGGUGAUCUAGCCAUGGGCAGGUUGAAGGUUGGGUAACACUAACUGGAGGACCGAACCGACUAAUGUUGAAAAAUUAGCGGAUGACUUGUGGCUGGGGGUGAAAGGCCAAUCAAACCGGGAGAUAGCUGGUUCUCCCCGAAAGCUAUUUAGGUAGCGCCUCGUGAACUCAUCUUCGGGGGUAGAGCACUGUUUCGGCUAGGGGGUCAUCCCGACUUACCAACCCGAUGCAAACUACGAAUACCGAAGAAUGUUAUCACGGGAGACACACGGCGGGUGCUAACGUCCGUCGUGAAGAGGGAAACAACCCAGACCGCCAGCUAAGGUCCCAAAGUCAUGGUUAAGUGGGAAACGAUGUGGGAAGGCACAGACAGCCAGGAUGUUGGCUUAGAAGCAGCCAUCAUUUAAAGAAAGCGUAAUAGCUCACUGGUCGAGUCGGCCUGCGCGGAAGAUGUAACGGGGCUAAACCAUGCACCGAAGCUGCGGCAGCGACACUAUGUGUUGUUGGGUAGGGGAGCGUUCUGUAAGCCUGCGAAGGUG